GACGAACGCUGGCGGCGUGCUUAACACAUGCAAGUCGAACGGUGAAGCGCCUUCCUUUUUGGUGGGUGUGGAUGAGUGGCGAACGGGUGAGUAACACGUGAGUAACCUGCCCCCUUCUUCUGGAUAACCGCAUGAAAGUGUGGCUAAUACGGGAUAUUCUGGGUCUGUCGCAUGAUGGGUCUGGGAAAGAUAUUGUUUCGGUGGGGGAUGGGCUCGCGGCCUAUCAGCUUGUUGGUGGGGUGAUGGCCUACCAAGGCGGUGACGGGUAGCCGGCCUGGGAGGAUGGACGGUAACAGUGGGGAUGAGACCCGGACCAGACUACUACGGGAGGCAGCGGUGGGGAAUAUUGCACGAUGGGCGCAAGCAUGAAGCAGCGACGCCGCGUGAGGGAUGGAGGCCUUCGGGUUGUGAACCUCUUUCGCCAGUGAAGCAGGCCUGCCUAGUUUGUGGGUGGGUUGACGGUAGCUGGAUAAGAAGCGCCGGCUAACUACGUG
RNAcentral lists this ribosomal RNA (494 nucleotides) under uncultured bacterium. RNAcentral describes it as "partial 16S ribosomal RNA". It matches the Rfam family "Bacterial small subunit ribosomal RNA", at positions 28 to 507 of the family's 1533-position model. The record is from RNAcentral.